CAGUCGCCGCGGUAAAACGGAGGGUGCAAGCGUUAUCCGGAUUUAUUGGGUUUAAAGGGUCCGUAGGCGGACUUAUAAGUCAGUGGUGAAAGCCUGUCGCUUAACGAUAGAACUGCAAUUGAUACUGUAAGUCUUGAGUAUAUUUGAGGUAGCUGGAAUAAGUAGUGUAGCGGUGAAAUGCAUAGAUAUUACUUAGAACACAAAUUGCGAAGGCAGGUUACCAAGAUAUAACUGACGCUGAGGGACGAAAGCGUGGGUAGCGAACAGGAUUAGAUACCCGCGUAGUCCCUGUCUCUUAUAC
This 301-nucleotide ribosomal RNA is filed under the name uncultured bacterium. RNAcentral describes it as "partial 16S ribosomal RNA". It matches the Rfam family "Bacterial small subunit ribosomal RNA", at positions 509 to 807 of the family's 1533-position model. The record is from RNAcentral.